Maniola jurtina (meadow brown) is the source of this 158-nucleotide long non-coding RNA. RefSeq lists it as uncharacterized. The record is from RefSeq and is a predicted model, not a curated record. The transcript has 5 exons. Lineage: Eukaryota; Metazoa; Arthropoda; Insecta; Lepidoptera; Nymphalidae.
CUCAAAGGUAAGAAAGCCUUAUUAUUUUUUUAGCUCACUUAAAAGAUAUAAAUAUUAAAACUUAUAAUACCGAAAGCUCGCGUAUUAAAGCCUUCACAGACUACAAACUUUUAUUUGGCAGAUAUACUAGUAAGUUCGCUUAGAUAGUUUUAAAAUUA